This 473-nucleotide ribosomal RNA is filed under the name uncultured bacterium. RNAcentral's name for it is "bacterial SSU rRNA". It matches the Rfam family "Bacterial small subunit ribosomal RNA", at positions 335 to 799 of the family's 1533-position model. The record is from RNAcentral.
ACUCCUACGGGAGGCAGCAGUGGGGAAUAUUGCACAAUGGGGGAAACCCUGAUGCAGCCAUGCCGCGUGUGUGAAGAAGGCCUUCGGUUGUAAAGUACUUUCAGCAGUGAGGAAGGCGGAGUCGUUAAUAGCGGCCUCGUUUGACGUUAGCUGCAGAAGAAGCACCGGCUAACUCCGUGCCAGCAGCCGCGGUAAUACGGAGGGUGCGAGCGUUAAUCGGAAUUACUGGGCGUAAAGCGCAUGCAGGCGGCCUGUUAAGUCAGAUGUGAAAGCCCGGGGCUUAACCUCGGAAUUGCAUUUGAAACUGGCAGGCUAGAGUCUUGUAGAGGGGGGUAGAAUUUCAGGUGUAGCGGUGAAAUGCGUAGAGAUCUGAAGGAAUACCAGUGGCGAAGGCGGCCCCCUGGACAAAGACUGACGCUCAGAUGCGAAAGCGUGGGGAGCAAAACAGGAUUAGAUACCCUGGUAGGAUAGCG